UUUGUUUUUGUUUUUAUAAAAAUUUGAAUUUCUUAUCAAAUAGAAAUUUAUUAAACUUCAUUAUUUUGAAAUUUUGAUAAAACGAAAGUCUUUUUCAAGACUUCAAUUAUUGAAAUUUUGAAAUAUUAAAAUUUAAAAAACAAAAACAAGCAACUUUCCAAGAAGUUAGAAACCUAAAAGGUUAAAAUAUAUUUAAUAUAUUUCACUAAUAUUAGUCCUGAAGAAGGGUAUAAGCAUACCCGAAACGUCGACUAGUACUAACAAAGUAUAUCGAAGAAAGACCUAUAGCCCACGGAAAAAGUAAAAUUUAUUUUACUAAAAAAGGUCACAAAAGGAGGAAUUAAUUA
Long non-coding RNA from Episyrphus balteatus (marmalade hoverfly), 347 nucleotides. RefSeq lists it as uncharacterized. The transcript has 2 exons. The record is from RefSeq and is a predicted model, not a curated record. NCBI's taxonomy places the organism in Eukaryota, Metazoa, Arthropoda, Insecta, Diptera, Syrphidae.